GAAAGUAAGCAAGGGCGUAUGGAGGAUGCCUAGGCUCUUAGAGGCGAAGAAGGACGCGAUAAGCUGCGAAAAGCUGCGGGGAUUGGCACACACGAAUUGAUCCGCAGGUAUCCGAAUGGGACAACCCGGUGCAUUGAAGAUGCAUCAUCUCCCGAUUUAUCGGGGGAGGCAAACGUGGGGAACUGAAACAUCUAAGUACCCACAGGAGGAGAAAACAAUAGUGAUUCCGUAAGUAGUGGCGAGCGAACGCGGAGAAGCCCAAACCAGAGUAGUUACGGCUAUUUUGGGGUUGUAGGACUACAUAAGUGUUUAUAUAAUGGAAGUUGAAUGGUCUGGGAAGGCCAACCGCAGAGGGUGAGAGUCCCGUAAAUGCUAAGUUAUAUAGGCCGGUAGUAUCCUGAGUAGGGCGGGGCAGGUGAAACCCCGUUUGAACCAGCCGGCACCAUCCGGUAAGGCUAAAUACUCCUAAGAGACCGAUAGUGAACUAGUACCGUGAGGGAAAGGUGAAAAGUACCCUGAAUAAGGGGGUGAAAUAGUACCUGAAACCAUACGCUUACAAGCGGUCGGAGCCCAGCAGUGUUUACACUGCCUAUGGGGUGACGGCGUGCCUUUUGCAUAAUGAGCCUACGAGUUACUCUUCUCUGGCAAGGUUAAGUGGUUUAAGCCACGUAUCCGGAGCGAAAGCGAGUCUGAAUAGGGCGUAUAGUCAGUGGAGGUAGACGCGAAACUUGGUGAUCUACCCAUGACCAGGUUGAAGGUGCGGUAACACGCACUGGAGGACCGAACCAGUUGACGUUGAAAAGUCUUUGGAUGAGUUGUGGGUAGGGGUGAAAGGCCAAUCAAACCGAGAAAUAGCUCGUACUCCCCGAAAUGCUUUUAGGAGCAGCGUGUGGGUUAAUUCUUAUAGAGGUAGAGCUACCAAUAGGACUAGGGGGAGUCACAUCCUACCAAAUCCUGAUGAACUCCGAAUGCUAUAAGAUAUACCAUGCAGUGAGGGUUUGGGUGCUAAGGUCCAAAUCCGAAAGGGAAAGAACCCGGACCAACAGCUAAGGUCCCAAAAUCUAUACUAAGUUGAACUAAGGUAGUCCAGUUGCCGAGACAGCAAGGAUGUUGGCUUGGAAGCAGCCAUUCAUUUAAAGAGUGCGUAACAGCUCACUUGUCGAGCGACAGGGCAUCGAUGAUAAUCGGGCAUCAAGUAUAGUACCGAAGCUUUGGAUUUGCAGUUUACUGCAAGUGGUAGGGGAGCAUUCUAAGUGCGGUGAAGUCACCUGGUAAUGGGUGGUGGAGCGCUUAGAAAAGCAAAUGUAGGCAUAAGUAACGAUAAUGCGGGCGAGAAACCCGCACACCGAUAGACUAAGGUUUCCACGGCAAUGCUAAUCAGCCGUGGGUUAGUCGGGUCCUAAGGCGCACCCGAAGGGGGAAGUCGAUGGAUAAUGGGUUAAUAUUCCCAUACUACUUAUAAGAGUGAUGGAGUGACGGAGUAGUGAAAGUCCCGCGUACUGACGGAAUAGUACGUUGAAGGGUGUAGGUAUUAGAACUGUAGGAAAAUCCGCAGAUUUAGCUGAACCUGAUAGUACCACAAUGCUACGGCAGCGUGGAUAGUGGACCUAAACAGACUUCCAAGAAAACCUUCUAAACUUAUCUUAUAAGUACCCGUACCGCAAACCGACACAGGUAGUCAAGGAGAGAAUCCUGAGGUGCUCGAGUGAUUCAUGGCUAAGGAACUAGGCAAAAUAGCCCUGUAACUUCGGGAGAAGGGGCGCUUCCUCAUGCUUGCAUGAGAAGCCGCAGUGAAAAGGCCCAGGCGACUGUUUAGCAAAAACACAUGGCUUUGCGAAAUCGAAAGAUGAAGUAUAAGGCCUGACACCUGCCCGGUGCCGGAAGGUUAAGGGGGGAUGUUAUCGACGCUUCGGCGUUGAGAAGCAUUGAACUGAAGCCCCGGUAAACGGCGGCCGUAACUAUAACGGUCCUAAGGUAGCGAAAUUCCUUGUCGGGUAAGUUCCGACCUGCACGAAUGGUGCAACGAUCUGGGCACUGUCUCGGCCAUGAGCUCGGUGAAAUUGUAGUCGCGGUGAAGAUGCCGCGUACCCGCAACGGGACGGAAAGACCCCAUGAACCUUUACUACAGUUUCACAUUGGUAUUGGGUAAAUAAUGUGUAGGAUAGCUGGGAGACUUUGAAGCUUUACCGCCAGGUAGGGUGGAGUCAUUGGUGAAAUACCAGCCUUUAUUUAUCUGAUGCCUAAUCCCGCUAGCGGGAGACAGUGUGUGAUGGGUAGUUUGACUGGGGUGGUCGCCUCCAAAAGAGUAACGGAGGCUUUCAAAGGUACCCUCAGCAUGUUUGGUAAUCAUGCAUAGAGUGCAAUAGCAGAAGGGUGCUUGACUGUGAGGCCAACAAGCCGAGCAGGGUCGAAAGACGGAUAUAGUGAUCCGGUGGUUCCGUAUGGAAGGGCCAUCGCUCAAAGGAUAAAAGGUACUCUGGGGAUAACAGGCUGAUCUCCCCCAAGAGCUCAUAUCGACGGGGAGGUUUGGCACCUCGAUGUCGGCUCGUCACAUCCUGGGGCUGGAGAAGGUCCCAAGGGUUGGGCUGUUCGCCCAUUAAAGUGGCACGCGAGCUGGGUUCAGAACGUCGUGAGACAGUUCGGUCCCUAUCUGUUGUGGGCGUAAGAAAUUUGAAAGGAUCUGACCUUAGUACGAGAGGACCGGGUUGGACUAACCUCUGGUGUAUCGGUUGUGGCGCCAGCUGCACUGCCGAGUAGCUAUGUUGGGAAGGGAUAAGCGCUGAAAGCAUCUAAGUGCGAAACCCACCUUAAGAUGAGAUUUCUUUAUAAGGGUCGUUAGAGACGAUAACGUAGAUAGGCUGCAGGUGUAAAGGUAGAAAUAUCAAAGCCGAGCAGUACUAAUUACCCGUAAGCUUUAUCUG
RNAcentral lists this ribosomal RNA (2921 nucleotides) under marine sediment metagenome. RNAcentral describes it as "bacterial LSU rRNA". It matches the Rfam family "Bacterial large subunit ribosomal RNA". The record is from RNAcentral.